Molecule: long non-coding RNA, 591 nt
Organism: Microplitis mediator
Lineage: Eukaryota; Metazoa; Arthropoda; Insecta; Hymenoptera; Braconidae
Exons: 5
Source: RefSeq, a predicted model, not a curated record
GAGCGACAAAGAAAGUUGUCAGCUACAUUCACACUCAUAAACAAAGCUGCUUAUGGAAUGUAUACAAAGGUGGGGGCUAUAGAAAGGUCAUACGUAUAUGUUUUGAAUUCGUUCUUUCUUCUAUCAGCUCUGAGUUGUGCGUCCUAAUUUUUUUCCGAUAUAAUUAUAUACAUUCAAAAAAAUUAUGGCAGGAACUCACUUAUUGGUUCGAGCCCGUAGGGAUAAUAAAAAUGAUAAGAAUUCGUUCGAAAACAUUUCGGUUCGUGGGCUUGACGUUCACCUCUGGAAGAAGUAUAAAAAAGAAUUUAAUUUUUCCGGAGACGCAAAGUACUAUAAAGCGACGGACAAAAACGCUUUGGUGGGUGCAUGCGAAUAUCCUGAAUCAAUAGUGAACGUGUUAAACUUUUUUUCAAAAAAUGAGUACCACGUCGUUUCAUCAUUGGGGGUAUACGAAGAUGCCGUUUGGACAUUGUAUAAGAAGAUAUGAUUAUUAUUUUUCACAUUCAACAUAAAACUUCAACGAGUACUUAAUCAAACUGUUGAAAUGUUAAAGUUAUUUUUCAUAUAAUAAAUAAAAAAAAUUAAUAAUAA